RNAcentral lists this ribosomal RNA (406 nucleotides) under uncultured bacterium. RNAcentral's name for it is "partial 16S ribosomal RNA". It matches the Rfam family "Bacterial small subunit ribosomal RNA", at positions 30 to 526 of the family's 1533-position model. The record is from RNAcentral.
AUUGAACGCUGGCGGCAGGCCUAACACAUGCAAGUCGAGCGGAGCGGCGGACGGGUGAGUAAUAUAUCGGAACUUGCCCAGUAGCGGGGAUAACUACUCGAAAGAGUGGCUAAUACCGCAUCCUCUUGGCGCGGCCUCUAUCUGAUUAGCUAGUUGGUGGGGUAAAGGCUCACCAAGGCCACGAUCCUUAGCUGGGUUGUGAGGAAGACCAGCCACACUGGGACUGAGACACGGCCCAGACUCCUACGGGAGGCAGCAGUGGGGAAUUUUGGACAAUGGGGGAAACGCGGAUCCAGCCAUCCCGCGUGUAUGAUGAAGGCCUUCGGGUUGUAAAGUACUUUUGGCAGAGAAGCGGUAUCGGCAGAAUAAGCACCGGCUAACUACGUGCCAGCAGCCGCGGUAAUAC